UCUGGUUUGAGGAGCGGGUGGGGCUGAGGUUUUCUUGGGUCCGGUGUCUGACCUGUAGGCGACUGCAGUAUUUUGGGAACCCCCAUACCUGACGGGCGCAUGACAGGAAGUGUGCGGACCCCACUCCUGAUGGGUGACAUGUAGUGAAGGAAUGUUCAAUCUUAGUGUUCAUGGGAAUGACCGAGACAGCAGGAAGAUCUCUAAGUUCUGAAGAAUCCAGGUUUGAAAAUGGAGAUGUAUGAAACUCUCGGAAAAGUGGGAGAGGGAAGUUAUGGAACAGUCAUGAAAUGUAAACAUAAGGAUACUGGGCAGAUAGUGGCCAUUAAGAUAUUUUAUGAGAAACCAGAAAAAUCUGUCAACAAAAUUGCAACGAGAGAAAUAAAGUUUUUAAAGCAAUUUCAUCAUGAAAACCUGGUCAAUCUGAUUGAAGUUUUUAGACAGAAAAAGAAAAUUCAUUUGGUGUUUGAAUUUAUUGACCACACAGUAUUAGAUGAGUUACAACAUUAUUGUCACGGACUGGAGAGUAAACGACUUAGAAAAUACCUGUUCCAGAUCCUUCGGGCAAUUGAAUAUCUUCACAAUAAUAAUAUCAUUCAUCGAGAUAUAAAACCUGAGAAUAUUUUAGUAUCCCAGUCAGGAAUUACUAAGCUCUGUGAUUUUGGUUUUGCACGAACUCUAGCAGCUCCUGGGGACAUUUAUACGGACUAUGUGGCCACACGCUGGUAUAGAGCUCCAGAAUUAGUAUUAAAAGAUACCUCUUAUGGAAAACCUGUAGAUAUCUGGGCUUUAGGUUGUAUGAUCAUUGAGAUGGCCACUGGAAAUCCCUAUCUUCCUAGCAGCUCUGAUUUGGAUUUACUUCAUAAAAUUGUUUUAAAAGUAGGCAAUUUGACACCUCAUUUACAGAAUAUCUUUUCCAAGAGUCCCAUUUUUGCUGGGGUGGUCCUUCCUCAAGUUCAACACCCCAAAAAUGCAAGAAAAAAAUACCCAAAGCUAAAUGGAUUGUUGGCAGAUAUAGUUCAUGCUUGUUUACAAAUUGAUCCUGCUGAGAGGACAUCGUCAACUAAUCUUUUGCAUCAUGAGUAUUUUACUAGAGAUGGAUUUAUAGAAAAAUUUAUACCAGAACUGAGAGCUAAAUUACUACAGGAAGCAAAAGUCAAUUCAUUCAUAAAGCCAAAAGAGAAUUCUAAAGAAAAUGAACUUAUGAAAGAUGAAAGGAAAACAACUUCUACCAAUACAUUGUUAAGUACUCCAAUUUUGGGAAAGGAAAUGGAAAAAGAGAAAAGGCACAAGGAGAUCAAAGUCAGAGUUAUUAAAGUCAAAGGAGGAAAAGGAGAUAUCUUAGAAUCAAAAAAGACAGAGUGUGAAGGUGGACAUUGUCAACAGGAUGCAAUUGAAAAUGUUCAUACUAUAUCUCAAGACACAAAAUCUAUAAUCAGUGAACUACCAAACCCUGUCAAUCCCGGCACUAACUCUAAUGGAAUGAAAAAUGAUCCACAUGCUGGAGGUAGUAUGAUGAUGCCACCUAUCAGUCUAACUAGCAGUAAUUUGGUGGCUUCAAAUCCCAAGUCACAUCUUUCCCACUCCAAGAGCCAAAUGGAGAAGGGUAUAUUUAAUGAGCGAACAGGUCAAAAUGACCAAAUAGCAAAUGGAAACAAAAGAAAGCUGAAUUUUUCCAGAUCUGACAGGAAGGAAUUCCAUUUCCCAGAACUGCCUUUCACGAUACAGCCCAAGGAGAUGAAAGGAAUGGAAGGUUUCCAUGAUUUGCAACUUUAUUCUGGUUGGUGUUGGAAAGGCAGGCUUGAAUGACCAUCCUAGUCCCAGUAGAGCAACAGUAUCUGCCAUCCCACAUGCUCUUCUGGAACUUUGCCUUUGCCUCUGUAAAGCUGGAGUCUGAUUCUACUCUCUUUGAGUCUGGCUGAGGAAUUCUGGAUAUCCUUUAAGAUGUAGCUCAAGCAUCAGCUUCUGUGGAAGUACUUCCCAAGCUGCCCCAAGUAACGAUGCCAUUCCUCUUCUGUACGUGUUUAAUAAAUACGUUUACCUGUA
Felis catus (domestic cat) is the source of this 2043-nucleotide RNA transcript. It is a transcript of the gene named cyclin dependent kinase like 3, with no coding region annotated. The transcript has 12 exons. The record is from RefSeq and is a predicted model, not a curated record. Lineage: Eukaryota; Metazoa; Chordata; Mammalia; Carnivora; Felidae.